This 171-nucleotide unclassified non-coding RNA is filed under the name uncultured Sordariomycetes. RNAcentral describes it as "sequence contains ITS2". The record is from RNAcentral. Lineage: Eukaryota; Fungi; Ascomycota; Sordariomycetes.
CAACCCUUAAGCCUAGCUUAGUGUUGAGAAUCUACGCGUGGUGCUACCUAGUAGCUACCCUGUAGUUCUCUAAAUUCAGCGGCGGAGUUGUGGUAUCCUCUGAGCGUAGUAAUAAUCUUCUCGCUUCUGUAGGUGCUAUAAUUCUUGCCGUUAAACCCCCUAAUUUCUAAU